GAUGAACGCUGGCGGCGUGCCUAACACAUGCAAGUCGAGCGUGAACCGUCUGAAUGAAACUUCGGUCGAGUGAGGAUGGGGAAAGCGGCGGACGGGUGAGUAACGCGUAGGCAACCUGCCCCGUACAGAGGGAUAGCCUCGGGAAACCGGGAUUAAGACCUCAUAAUACCAUUAUCUCACAUGUGAUAAUGGUCAAAGAUUUUAUCGGUAUGGGAUGGGCCUGCGUCUGAUUAGCUGGUUGGUGGGGUAACGGCUCACCAAGGCGACGAUCAGUAGCCGACCUGAGAGGGUAAUCGGCCACAUUGGAACUGAGACACGGUCCAAACUCCUACGGGAGGCAGCAGUGGGGAAUAUUGCACAAUGGGCGAAAGCCUGAUGCAGCAACGCCGCGUGAGCGAGGAAGGCCUUUGGGUCGUAAAGCUCUGUCGAGGAGGAAGAUAAUGACGGUACUCCUCGAGGAAGCCCCGGCUAACUACGUGCCAGCAGCCGCGGUAAACGU
This 499-nucleotide ribosomal RNA is filed under the name uncultured bacterium. RNAcentral describes it as "bacterial SSU rRNA". It matches the Rfam family "Bacterial small subunit ribosomal RNA", at positions 28 to 528 of the family's 1533-position model. The record is from RNAcentral.